Molecule: small nuclear RNA, 131 nt
Filed under: Meriones unguiculatus (Mongolian gerbil)
Lineage: Eukaryota; Metazoa; Chordata; Mammalia; Rodentia; Muridae
Description: U2 spliceosomal RNA (ENSMUGG00000005718.1)
Rfam family: U2 spliceosomal RNA (bases 1-108)
About the family: U2 is a small nuclear RNA (snRNA) component of the spliceosome (involved in pre-mRNA splicing). Complementary binding between U2 snRNA (in an area lying towards the 5' end but 3' to hairpin I) and the branchpoint sequence (BPS) of the intron results the bulging out of an unpaired adenosine, on the BPS, which initiates a nucleophilic attack at the intronic 5' splice site, thus starting the first of two transesterification reactions that mediate splicing.
Source: RNAcentral
AUUUCUUGGCCUUUUGGCUAAGAGCAAGUGUCGUAUCUGUUCUUACCAGUUUAGUGCCUGGUCGGUCCCCUGAGGACAGUGACAGCAACAAAAAUAGAUGCUCCCAUCUGCUUGUGAGAAGUGGAGUGCUC